This is a non-coding RNA of Chlorocebus sabaeus (green monkey), 319 nucleotides long. It matches the Rfam family "Metazoan signal recognition particle RNA". Rfam says of the family: The signal recognition particle (SRP) is a universally conserved ribonucleoprotein. It is involved in the co-translational targeting of proteins to membranes. NCBI's taxonomy places the organism in Eukaryota, Metazoa, Chordata, Mammalia, Primates, Cercopithecidae. The record is from Rfam.
GCCGGGCGCGGUGGCUCAAGCCUGUAAUCCCAGCACUUUGGGAGGCCGAGACGGGCGGAUCACGAGGUCAGGAGAUCGAGACCAUCCUGGCUAACACGGUGAAACCCCGUCUCUACUAAAUAUUACAAAACACUAGCCGGGCGAUGUUGCGGGUGCCUGUAGUCCCAGCUACUCGGNNNNNNNNNNCCGAGUAGCUGGGACUACAGGCACCCGCAACAUCGCCCGGCUAGUUUUUUUUGUAAUAUUUAGUAGAGACGGGGUUUCACCGUGUUAGCCAGGAUGGUCUCGAUCUCCUGACCUCGUGAUCCACCCGUCUCCG